This 127-nucleotide non-coding RNA is filed under the name Clostridiales bacterium oral taxon 876 str. F0540. RNAcentral's name for it is "FMN riboswitch aptamer (RFN element)". It matches the Rfam family "FMN riboswitch aptamer (RFN element)". Rfam says of the family: The RFN element is a highly conserved domain that is found frequently in the 5'-untranslated regions of prokaryotic mRNAs that encode for flavin mononucleotide (FMN) biosynthesis and transport proteins. This element is a metabolite-dependent riboswitch that directly binds FMN in the absence of proteins. The record is from Rfam by way of RNAcentral. RNAcentral also lists the same sequence under 1 other name. Lineage: Bacteria; Bacillati; Bacillota; Clostridia; Eubacteriales.
GAUAAUCUUCAGGGCAGGGUGACUAAGAAAUUAGGAUUCCCGACCGGCGGUAAAGCCCGCGAGCCGUAAUGGCAGAUUCGGUGUAACUCCGAAGCCGACAGUACAGUCUGGAUGGAAGAAGAUGACU